Molecule: unclassified non-coding RNA, 242 nt
Filed under: Phaeosphaeriaceae sp.
Lineage: Eukaryota; Fungi; Ascomycota; Dothideomycetes; Pleosporales; Phaeosphaeriaceae
Description: partial contains 5.8S ribosomal RNA, internal transcribed spacer 2, and large subunit ribosomal RNA
Source: RNAcentral
CGCACAUUGCGCCCCUUGGUAUUCCAUGGGGCAUGCCUGUUCGAGCGUCAUUUGUACCCUCAAGCUUUGCUUGGUGUUGGGCGUUUUGUCUUUUUAUUAAGACUCGCCUCAAAGUAAUUGGCAGCCAGUGUUUUGGUAGUAAGCGCAGCACAAUUUGCGUCUUGGUCCCUCAACAGCGGCAUCCACAAAGCCUCUUUUUCACUUUUGACCUCGGAUCAGGUAGGGAUACCCGCUGAACUUAA